ACCUUACUGAUAUCCUCGGCUAACAAAACUCACAAUCGAGAACAGGUCAAACACGUCGCAAGUGCCAAGAAUCUCACAUCAACAAACUCAUACAUCGAUUUCCGGUAACAAACCCUAAAAAGCCAAACACUACUCAAACGUCCACCUUCCUUUACUACGCGGUCUAUUUAAACAGACGAGCAAACCUCGUCUGGGGCAAGUGAAAAACAGUGAUCAUAAGCUACUAGGAAAAACGACUUCAUAGCACCAAACCCUACAAAUUCCUUAUUUUUACUUUUGCUUGUUGAAGUUUAUAUUACCGAGCACUAACUUGAGUGUCGGAGUCCUUUUUGCAGGUUCCACGCCGAGGUCUUCAGUUCCGAGGAGAAUACUUCCGAGCCCCUGACGGAGCUUGUAGCCGAUCACACUUCGAAAGCUUUAUCUCGCAAGGAACAAGUUCAAUAAGCAACCCUCUCUCUACCUUUAAGUUCAAAUAUAAAAAAUUAGAUAUUUUUAUUUAUUUAAUUUAAUAUUAUUUUAUAUUUUACUAUUUAUUUAAUUUAAUUUUUUAUAUGAUAAAAAAUAAUAGAAUAUUCAAUAAGUAUUAAUAUUAUUGUAUUUGUAUAAAUUGAUACAAAAAAAUUUAAUAAAUAUUAUAAAUUUUAAUAUUUAUCCUUCUAACUUCUUUUUUACAUAUUCUACAUGAUAUAUAUUCAAAUUUUUAUAUAAAAUAAUAAUAAAAAAAAUCAAAGAAUUGAUGCAUUUUUUAAGAGGAAGCCUAAUAUUUAAGAAGGAGAACAUAUAAUUUUUACAAUAUCAAUACCUAUAGAUAGUUCUUAUACUUUAAUGAAUCACGAAAAAAGUGAGAUACAAC
This 853-nucleotide long non-coding RNA is filed under the name Arachis ipaensis. Its description in RNAcentral is "long non-coding RNA (AIPA_LNC001832)". Lineage: Eukaryota; Viridiplantae; Streptophyta; Magnoliopsida; Fabales; Fabaceae. The record is from RNAcentral.